GACGAACGCUGGCGGCGUGCUUAACACAUGCAAGUCGAACGGAAAGGCCCUGCUUUUGUGGGGUUCCCGAGGGGCGAACGGGUGAGUAACACGUGAGUAACCUGCCCUUGACUUUGGGAUAACUUCAGGAAACUGGGGCUAAUACCGGAUAGGAGCUCCCGCGGCAUGGUGGGGGUUGGAAAGUUUCGGCGGGUGGGGAUGGACUCGCGGCUUAUCAGCUUGUUGGUGGGGGAGUGGCUUACCAAGGCAUUGACGGGUAGCCGGCCUGAGAGGGUGACCGGCCACAUUGGGACUGAGAUACGGCCCAGACUCCUACGGGAGGCAGCAGUGGGGAAUAUUGCACAAUGGGCGGAAGCCUGAUGCAGCAACGCCGCGUGCGGGAUGACGGCCUUCGGGUUGUAAACCGCUUUCGCCUGUGACGAAGCGUGAGUGACGGUAAUGGGUAAAGAAGCACCGGCUAACUACGUG
RNAcentral lists this ribosomal RNA (468 nucleotides) under uncultured bacterium. Its description in RNAcentral is "partial 16S ribosomal RNA". It matches the Rfam family "Bacterial small subunit ribosomal RNA", at positions 28 to 507 of the family's 1533-position model. The record is from RNAcentral.